Long non-coding RNA from Oncorhynchus keta (chum salmon), 445 nucleotides. RefSeq lists it as uncharacterized. The record is from RefSeq and is a predicted model, not a curated record. The transcript has 3 exons. NCBI's taxonomy places the organism in Eukaryota, Metazoa, Chordata, Actinopteri, Salmoniformes, Salmonidae.
ACUAUGUCUCAUGAAGCCGUUAGAAGACUGUUGCUGACUGACAGGAGGUUUCCCGCAGACAGGUGUCACAGAAGCUGUGGCCACACGGCACUAGAACGGGAUCCUUGAAGAUGUCACGGCACACAAGACAGGAGAGAUCCUGCUAUUGGAAAGAUGAACCAGAAGCCAUUUUGUAAUGAAAUCAGUCACUUCCCUCUAAUAGCCCCUGAAAGAAGCAGACAUUGACUUCAGUGUUGUUUAAAUCUUAGUGUUGAUGAUAUUGUCCUGCUCUUCAAUAGAUGCUGUGAGUCUUGAAGUUGUGCUUGUAAAUUCAGGGAAAUCAAGUGAGAGGGAGCCAAGAUGGCGUCGCUGUGAGAGGGAGCCAAGAUGGCGUCGCUGUGAGAGGGAGCCAAGAUGGCGUCGCUGUGAGAGGGAGCCAAGAUGGCGUCGCUGUGAGAGGGAGCCA